RNAcentral lists this ribosomal RNA (495 nucleotides) under uncultured bacterium. RNAcentral describes it as "partial 16S ribosomal RNA". It matches the Rfam family "Bacterial small subunit ribosomal RNA", at positions 28 to 507 of the family's 1533-position model. The record is from RNAcentral.
GACGAACGCUGGCGGCGUGCCUAAUACAUGCAAGUAGAACGCUGAAGGAGGAGCUUGCUCUUCUGGAUGAGUUGCGAACGGGUGAGUAACGCGUAGGUAACCUGCCUGGUAGCGGGGGAUAACUAUUGGAAACGAUAGCUAAUACCGCAUAACAGUAGAUGUUGCAUGACAUUUACUUAAAAGGUGCAAUUGCAUCGCUACCAGAUGGACCUGCGUUGUAUUAGCUAGUUGGUGGGGUAACGGCUCACCAAGGCGACGAUACAUAGCCGACCUGAGAGGGUGAUCGGCCACACUGGGACUGAGACACGGCCCAGACUCCUACGGGAGGCAGCAGUAGGGAAUCUUCGGCAAUGGACGGAAGUCUGACCGAGCAACGCCGCGUGAGUGAAGAAGGUUUUCGGAUCGUAAAGCUCUGUUGUAAGAGAAGAACGAGUGUGAGAGUGGAAAGUUCACACUGUGACGGUAUCUUACCAGAAAGGGACGGCUAACUACGUG